RNAcentral lists this ribosomal RNA (497 nucleotides) under uncultured bacterium. RNAcentral describes it as "partial 16S ribosomal RNA". It matches the Rfam family "Bacterial small subunit ribosomal RNA", at positions 28 to 507 of the family's 1533-position model. The record is from RNAcentral.
GAUGAACGCUGGCGGCGUGCCUAAUACAUGCAAGUCGAGCGAACAGACGAGGAGCUUGCUCCUCUGACGUUAGCGGCGGACGGGUGAGUAACACGUGGAUAACCUACCUAUAAGACUGGGAUAACUUCGGGAAACCGGAGCUAAUACCGGAUAAUAUAUUGAACCGCAUGGUUCAAUAGUGAAAGACGGUUUUGCUGUCACUUAUAGAUGGAUCCGCGCCGCAUUAGCUAGUUGGUAAGGUAACGGCUUACCAAGGCAACGAUGCGUAGCCGACCUGAGAGGGUGAUCGGCCACACUGGAACUGAGACACGGUCCAGACUCCUACGGGAGGCAGCAGUAGGGAAUCUUCCGCAAUGGGCGAAAGCCUGAUGGAGCAACGCCGCGUGAGUGAUGAAGGUCUUCGGAUCGUAAAACUCUGUUAUUAGGGAAGAAAAAAUGUGUAAGUAACUAUGCACGUCUUGACGGUACCUAAUCAGAAAGCCACGGCUAACUACGUG